ACGUGCUGGUGAAGCGUUAGGACUGGAACUUUGGGCCGGUUUCCUGCCCAUCGUUUCGGGAAUUUCGUUGAACCCUCCCGUUUAGAGGAAGGAGAAGUCGUAACAAGGUCUCCGUAGGUGAACCUGCGGAGGGAUCAUUG
Molecule: ribosomal RNA, 140 nt
Filed under: Ulva australis
Lineage: Eukaryota; Viridiplantae; Chlorophyta; Ulvophyceae; Ulvales; Ulvaceae
Description: partial 18S ribosomal RNA
Rfam family: Eukaryotic small subunit ribosomal RNA
Source: RNAcentral